ACAUCCAGAGAAUUUAGCAGAGAUGCUUUAGUGCCUUCGGGAACUCUGAGACAGGUGCUGCAUGGAUGUCGUCAGCUCGUGUUGUGAAAUGUUGGGUUAAGUCCCGCAACGAGCGCAACCCUUAUCCUUUGUUGCCAGCACGUAAUGGUGGGAACUCAAAGGAGACUGCCGGUGAUAAACCGGAGGAAGGUGGGGAUGACGUCAAGUCAUCAUGGCCCUUACGAGUAGGGCUACACACGUGCUACAAUGGCGCAUACAAAGAGAAGCGACCUCGCGAGAGCAAGCGGACCUCAUAAAGUGCGUCGUAGUCCGGAUUGGAGUCUGCAACUCGACUCCAUGAAGUCGGAAUCGCUAGUAAUCGUAAAUCAGAAUGUUACGGUGAAUACGUUCCCGGGCCUUGUACACACCGCCCGUCACACCAUGGGAGUGGGUUGCAAAAGAAGUAGAUAGCUUAACCUUCGGGAGGGCGUUUACCACUUUGUGAUUCAUGACUGGGGUGAAGUCGUAACAAGGUAGGCGUAGUGCU
This 526-nucleotide ribosomal RNA is filed under the name uncultured bacterium. RNAcentral's name for it is "bacterial SSU rRNA". It matches the Rfam family "Bacterial small subunit ribosomal RNA", at positions 984 to 1509 of the family's 1533-position model. The record is from RNAcentral.